This 481-nucleotide ribosomal RNA is filed under the name uncultured bacterium. RNAcentral's name for it is "partial 16S ribosomal RNA". It matches the Rfam family "Bacterial small subunit ribosomal RNA", at positions 28 to 523 of the family's 1533-position model. The record is from RNAcentral.
GACGAACGCUGGCGGCGUGCUUAACACAUGCAAGUCGAACGAUGAAGGAGAGCUUGCUCUCCGGAUUAGUGGCGAACGGGUGAGUAACACGUGACUAACCUGCCCCUUUCUCUGGGAUAACGCUCCGAAAGGAGUGCUAAUACCGGAUACGAACUCUGAAAACAUGUUCGGAGUUGGAAAGUUUGUCGGAAAGGGAUGGAGUCGCGGCCUAUCCGCUUGUUGGUGAGGUAACGGCCCACCAAGGCGACGACGGGUAGGCGGCCUGAGAGGGCGACCGGCCACACUGGGACUGAGACACGGCCCAGACUCCUACGGGAGGCAGCAGUGGGGAAUAUUGCACAAUGGGCGAAAGCCUGAUGCAGCGACGCCGCGUGAGGGAUGAAGGUCUUCGGAUUGUAAACCUCUUUCAGUAGGGACGAAGCGAAAGUGACGGUACCUAAAGAAGAAGCACCGGCUAACUACGUGCCAGCCGCCGCCGUAA